GACGAACGCUGGCGGCGUGCCUAAUACAUGCAAGUUGAGCGAUGAAGAUUGGUGCUUGCACCAAUUUGAAGAGCAGCGAACGGGUGAGUAACGCGUGGGGAAUCUGCCUUUGAGCGGGGGACAACAUUUGGAAACGAAUGCUAAUACCGCAUAAUAACUUUAAACAUAAGUUUUAAGUUUGAAAGAUGCAAUUGCAUCACUCAAAGAUGAUCCCGCGUUGUAUUAGCUAGUUGGUGAGGUAAAGGCUCACCAAGGCGAUGAUACAUAGCCGACCUGAGAGGGUGAUCGGCCACAUUGGGACUGAGACACGGCCCAAACUCCUACGGGAGGCAGCAGUAGGGAAUCUUCGGCAAGGGACGAAAGUCUGACCGAGCAACGCCGCGUGAGUGAAGAAGGGUGUCGGAUCGUAAAACUCUGUUGGUAGAGAAGAACGUUGGUGAGAGUGGAAAGCUCAUCAAGUGACGGUAACUACCCAGAAAGGGACGGCUAACUACGUG
RNAcentral lists this ribosomal RNA (497 nucleotides) under uncultured bacterium. RNAcentral's name for it is "partial 16S ribosomal RNA". It matches the Rfam family "Bacterial small subunit ribosomal RNA", at positions 28 to 507 of the family's 1533-position model. The record is from RNAcentral.